AGGUAUGGAAAAGCAUCCCCCUACAUUUGAUUCCCCGUCCCCAGCAAAACAGAGGUUGUCAUUUGUCAGAGCCAGUGUCAGCAAACAACAACCGGAAGGUACAUAUAUUUCUCUCUGGCUUCUGUAGAAAAGGGAAAUACUAUGCCCACCGCUCAGAACGUCCCGUUAUCCCUUCCCGCUAUAUGUGGUUGUUGUUUUUAAAAAUUAAAAAAGUAAAGCUUUUUUUUUUUUUUUAAAUUAGAACAGUCUUCGUCUUCAAGCUUGGUCUUCAAGCCAACCGAAACCCAUUUCAACUUUCAACUUUUGUCUGCGUCACCUUCGUCUUCAAGCCAGAGGAAUCCAUCUCAAAUUUAAAAAUUAUAACCUCCUUCGUCUUCGAGCCAACCGACGUAUUCGAGCUUCGUCUUUUUUUUUCAGAGAAACCCAUUUCAAAUAUAAAAAUUAGAAGCCAACCGGAACCCAGUCCAAAUUUCAUCUUUGUCAGCUUCGUCUGUCUUCGUCAGCUUCGUCUUCAAGCCAGAGGAACCCAUUUCAAAUUUCGUCUUCGCAUAACACUUCAAGGCAAGCUUUUGUUUCAUCUUCAAGCGUUCAGAGAAACCCACUCUGCCCACCAAAGAGAAUCCAUUUCUCAUUUCAUCUUCAAGCCAAGCCUCCAUUUUUGUCUUCAAACCUUCAGUUUCAGAACCGAUUCCGUCACCUCCUUCAAAUAGCCUCCUUCCCAGUUCGAGAAACCCAUGCUUCCGUCGACUCGCCCUUCGGUCGCCACCCCUUCAGACCCAUUCUGUGGCCUCCCGUUCAAGCCUCGAUCCCAGUUCGAAAAGCUUCCGUCGACUCACCAUUGUCACGCCAAAAGGGACCUAUGGCAAAUGCUUGUCUGGGAUUGAUGAUUCAAAGCAAAUGACUAGGGAAGGUUCUUUGCAUUUGACCGCUUUGCGAGAUGAUGCUAACCAGGUUGGGCAUUCUUCCGGGUUUUUUUGUUGGUAUGACCCGGAAAUUCUACCAUAUGGCGAGAAUAUAAUCAACCAUUUAAAAACCGAAAUUCAAAAGAUACAACUUGCAAUGGAUAUCUAAACAAAUCGACAUCAACUAGAAAUAGAGACUGAGAGGCGCAAGAGAAAGUUUGAGAGGUUCAGUGUAGUUUUAGUAAUUUUAAUGUCGUGGGUACUUUGUUUAGGCAUGGUUUUUGGGAAAUUCUGAAAAAAGAUGUUGGUUGCUUGGUAGAUGUAAUAUAUGACUAUGCUUGGUUGGUUGGUUGGUUAUUUUUUGUAAUAGUAAAAACUGAAUGAUGUAUAAAUCUGUUGGAGUAGAUGUUAUUUAAAUUUUGGAUGGUUAAAGGAUUUAUA
Long non-coding RNA from Juglans regia (Persian walnut), 1343 nucleotides. RefSeq lists it as uncharacterized. NCBI's taxonomy places the organism in Eukaryota, Viridiplantae, Streptophyta, Magnoliopsida, Fagales, Juglandaceae. The transcript has 3 exons. The record is from RefSeq and is a predicted model, not a curated record.